UAGGGAAUCUUCCACAAUGGACGCAAGUCUGAUGGAGCAACGCCGCGUGAGUGAAGAAGGUUUUCGGACCGUAAAGCUCUGUUGUUGGUGAAGAAGGAUAGAGGUAGUAACUGGCCUUUAUUUGACGGUAAUCAACCAGAAAGUCACGGCUAACUACGUGCCAGCAGCCGCGGUAAAUCGUAGGUGGCAAGCGUUGUCCGGAUUAUUGGGCGUAAAGCGAGCGCAGGCGGAAGAAUAAGUCUGAUGUGAAAGCCCUCGGCUUAACCGAGGAAUUGCAUCGGAAACUGUUUUCUGAGUGCAGAAGAGGAGAGUAGAACUCCAUGUGUAGCGGUGGAAUGCGUAGAUAUAUGGAAGAAUACCAGUGGCGAAGGCGGCUCUCUGGUCUGCAACUGACGCUGAGGCUCGAAAGCAUGGGUAGCGAACAGGAUUAGAUACCCC
Molecule: ribosomal RNA, 438 nt
Filed under: uncultured bacterium
Lineage: Bacteria
Description: partial 16S ribosomal RNA
Rfam family: Bacterial small subunit ribosomal RNA
Source: RNAcentral